GUAAGUUUGUGCUUUGGGUCAUCACAAGAAUUUUUUGUAUCAACUUACUCUUUGAGCGAUGGAACGAAGUUCUGUUUAUACCGAAGUUUUGUUUUCCAAUAUAACCACCAAGUAGCAGCCGAUUUAUGAAGUAAGUUUGUUGUUAUUUUUUCAACAAGCUAUAGAAAACUUAACAAACAAGCAAGACUCAUUUUUUCUUUCAAAUUUUUUAUCGAAGCAUUAAGCAAAUCUGUAACGUCUCUAAGUUCAAGGUUUAUUCGAUUAAUGAUAUGUACCGUUAAAAAAGUAUUACACUCCUGAUCUUUCUCAUGAAAA
Xenia sp. Carnegie-2017 is the source of this 315-nucleotide long non-coding RNA. RefSeq lists it as uncharacterized. The record is from RefSeq and is a predicted model, not a curated record. The transcript is spliced from 2 exons. NCBI's taxonomy places the organism in Eukaryota, Metazoa, Cnidaria, Anthozoa, Malacalcyonacea, Xeniidae.